This 515-nucleotide ribosomal RNA is filed under the name uncultured Alphaproteobacteria bacterium. RNAcentral describes it as "SSU rRNA". It matches the Rfam family "Bacterial small subunit ribosomal RNA", at positions 242 to 774 of the family's 1533-position model. Lineage: Bacteria; Pseudomonadati; Pseudomonadota; Alphaproteobacteria. The record is from RNAcentral.
CAGCUAGUUGGUGAGGUAAUGGCCCACCAAGGCGACGAUCGUUAGCUGGUCUGAGAGGACGAUCAGCCACACUGGGACUGAGACACGGCCCAGACUCCUACGGGAGGCAGCAGUGGGGAAUAUUGGACAAUGGGGGCAACCCUGAUCCAGCCAUGCCGCGUGAGUGAUGAAGGCCUUCGGGUUGUAAAGCUCUUUUGGCGGGGACGAUGAUGACGGUACCCGCAGAAUAAGCCCCGGCUAACUUCGUGCCAGCAGCCGCGGUAAGACGAAGGGGGCUAGCGUUGUUCGGAAUUACUGGGCGUAAAGCGAGUGUAGGUGGUUGUCCAAGUUGGAUGUGAAAGCCUUGAGCUCAACUCAAGAAAUGCAUUCAGGACUGGGCGGCUAGAGGACCGGAGAGGAUAGUGGAAUUCCCAGUGUAGUGGUGAAAUACGUAGAGAUUGGGAAGAACACCAGUGGCGAAGGCGGCUAUCUGGACGGUUUCUGACACUAAGACUCGAAAGCGUGGGGAGCAAACA